This 209-nucleotide unclassified non-coding RNA is filed under the name Entomortierella beljakovae. RNAcentral's name for it is "Mortierella beljakovae partial internal transcribed spacer region". The stretch from base 1 to 46 matches the Rfam family "Eukaryotic small subunit ribosomal RNA", at positions 1786 to 1831 of the family's 1831-position model. Lineage: Eukaryota; Fungi; Mortierellomycota; Mortierellomycetes; Mortierellales; Mortierellaceae. The record is from RNAcentral.
AAGUCGUAACAAGGUUUCCGUAGGUGAACCUGUGGAAGGAUCAUUCAUAAUAAAAGUGUUUUAUGGCACUUUUAAAACAAUCCAUAUCCACCUUGUGUGCAAUGUUUUUUUUCAUUAUCAACUCUUUAUUUUAAUUAUUUUGUCUGAAAUAUAUUAUGAAUAACUUAAUUCAAAAAAUAUAACUUUCAACAACGGAUCUCUUGGCUCUC